GAGACUCUUAGAGCAGCAUUAAUUAGAGAUUUCAAAUGGCCAUUGUUAUUUUUAUUGUGCGUAGUUCUAUCCUCCCUUCAGUGCAUGCAUUAUUUUAAAGAGCUAGCCUCGAUCCCAGGCCGAGUUUUCGCUUUUAUAACGGUUAGGCGAACAACUGGGCCUGGUACUAGUUGUCUGCGCAUGCGUCAGUCGUUCGUCAGAUUCUGACGAAUGGAUAUUCUCGUUCACUUUCGUGACAUUUAUAUUCGUGUACUAUCGUGUACUAGAAGUCAGUUCCCGUUUUAUCAUUAUUGGAAUCGAUUGGAAUGGCUCUUAGCUGAAGCUUCUCUCUUCUCUGAAGCUUAUUCUGAAGACUGAACAACAAGGGAAGAGGUAUAAAGCUUUGUCAAGCUUGUUAAGGUCAGAUAUUUUUGUGUGGGCCCUAUGGAUGGCUAUGCUAUCAAGUCUUGUUCAUGUUUGGCAAGAAUGUAGGUAGACUAUAGUUUCAUCAUUAAUAUGGUGGAUCAAGUGAAGAGUUUAAGCUAGAGAACUUGGUGCUGCCAUCAUCAGCUCGUCGACAAUGACACUAUAACCGAGAAAUUUAAUAUGUAUAGAUCUACACGUAUUUAAAAUGUCUACUUCUCUGUACAGGAGCAAUGGCUAAUAUCCAGCUAUCCCAACAGUGCUCCUCUUGGCUAUACUAACGGACGAGACUGGACAGUUUGAGACACAGGACUGGAGUAUGACCUGCUCAUUCGAGCGUUGCUGGGUAGCUCAGAGACAUCAAGAGAAUCUACGUUUUCUCAAGCAAUGAGUUACGAGUUGGGGCCUAGAAUCAGAGAAGUCCAGCAGCCUGCUAAAUCUUUUUGAAACGUAAUUUGAAGGCAUUCAAUCAUCUUGAAGUUGCCCUGGGUCACUGUAAUUGUGCUGCAGCACAACUGGCAACUCCCCAGGCCUUUGUGAAGCAGCUCCCUAUGUGCAUCUUUUGUGUACUCACUCUGUGCAUUUUCUGUGUACAAAUUUCAAUUAUUGAUUUAUUAAAUAUUUUUGCCGACCACAAA
Molecule: long non-coding RNA, 1040 nt
Organism: Halichondria panicea
Lineage: Eukaryota; Metazoa; Porifera; Demospongiae; Suberitida; Halichondriidae
Exons: 2
Source: RefSeq, a predicted model, not a curated record